This 72-nucleotide small RNA is filed under the name Bifidobacterium cuniculi. RNAcentral describes it as "Transposase-2 RNA". It matches the Rfam family "Transposase-2 RNA". The record is from Rfam by way of RNAcentral. Lineage: Bacteria; Bacillati; Actinomycetota; Actinomycetes; Bifidobacteriales; Bifidobacteriaceae.
GAAACGCCUAUCAAGCAGCCACCGGACUGGUGGUGUGAGGCUUGAAGCUGACCGUCGCAAGGCGGUCAUAUC